This 492-nucleotide ribosomal RNA is filed under the name uncultured bacterium. RNAcentral describes it as "partial 16S ribosomal RNA". It matches the Rfam family "Bacterial small subunit ribosomal RNA", at positions 29 to 507 of the family's 1533-position model. The record is from RNAcentral.
AGUGAACGCUGGCGGUAGGCCUAACACAUGCAAGUCGAACGGCAGCACAGUAAGAGCUUGCUCUUACGGGUGGCGAGUGGCGGACGGGUGAGGAAUACAUCGGAAUCUACUUUUUCGUGGGGGAUAACGUAGGGAAACUUACGCUAAUACCGCAUACGACCUACGGGUGAAAGCAGGGGAUCUUCGGACCUUGCGCGACUGAAUGAGCCGAUGUCGGAUUAGCUAGUUGGCGGGGUAAAGGCCCACCAAGGCGACGAUCCGUAGCUGGUCUGAGAGGAUGAUCAGCCACACUGGAACUGAGACACGGUCCAGACUCCUACGGGAGGCAGCAGUGGGGAAUAUUGGACGAUGGGCGCAAGCCUGAUCCAGCCAUACCGCGUGGGUGAAGAAGGCCUUCGGGUUGUAAAGCCCUUUUGUUGGGAAAGAAAAGCAGCAGGUUAAUACCCCGCUGUUCUGACGGUACCCAAAGAAUAAGCACCGGCUAACUUCGUG